CGGGUCAACUGUAAUUGCCUCUAUUGUGAAGUGGAAAGUUCCAGAACUCACGACAGAGUUCCAACUCCAUAUUAAUGCCUUCCCAGAAGAGUGGAGGCUGUUAUAGCAGCAAAGGGGGGUCCAACUCCAUAUUAAAGCCUUCCCAGAAGAGUGGAGGCUGUUAUAGCAGCAAAGGGGGGUCCAACUCCAUAUUAAUGCCUUCCCAGAAGAGUGGAGGCUGUUAUAGCAGCAAAGGAGGGGUCCAACUCCAUAUUCAUGACUUCCCAGAAGAGUGGAGGCUGUUAUAGCAGCAAAGGGGGUCCAACUCCAUAUUAAUGACUUCCCAGAAGAGUGGAGGCUGUUAUAGCAGCAAAGGGGGUCCAACUCCAUAUUAAUGCCUUCCCAGAAGAGUGGAGGCUGUUAUAGCAGCAAAGGGGGGACCAACUCCAUAUUAAUGACUUCCCAGAAGAGUGGAGGCUGUUAUAGCAGCAAAGGGGGUCCAACUCCAUAUUAAUGCCUUCCCAGAAGAGUGGAGGCUGUUAUAGCAGCAAAGGGGGUCCAACUCCAUAUUAAUGCCUUCCCAGAAGAGUGGAGGCUGUUAUAGCAGCAAAGGGGGUCCAACUCCAUAUUAAUGCCUUCCCAGAAGAGUGGAGGCUGUUAUAGCAGCAAAGGGGGGACCAACUCCAUAUUAAUGCCUUCCCAGAAGAGUGGAGGUUGUUAUAGCAGCAAAGGGGGGUCCAACUCCAUAUUAAUGACUUCCCUGAAGAGUGGAGGCUGUUAUAGCAGCAAAGGGGGGUCCAACUCCAUAUUAAAGCCCAUGAUCUUGGAAUGAGAUGUUGGACGUGCAGGUGUCCACAUAUUUUUGGUCAUGUAAUGUAUCAUCAAGAAGCUUCCUAAGAAGGUAAAACACUUCUCCGGGCAGGCUGAUUAUCAGGACAGGAGACUGCAAUACACACACCUGAGGAGGAACGCACCCAAAGGGCUGGCAGGCUCUGUCCAGCCCUUAGGGGGCGUUCCAGGUGGUCUGUACUGCAAUCACACUGCCCAGUUUUAGGUGGCGAUGGAGACCUCUUGACGGGUACCCACCUGGAAGCU
Oncorhynchus tshawytscha (Chinook salmon) is the source of this 1074-nucleotide long non-coding RNA. The record is from Ensembl. NCBI's taxonomy places the organism in Eukaryota, Metazoa, Chordata, Actinopteri, Salmoniformes, Salmonidae.